UACGGAGGGUGCAAGCGUUAUCCGGAUUCACUGGGUUUAAAGGGUGCGUAGGCGGACAGGUAAGUCAGUGGUGAAAUCUCUGGGCUUAACCCAGAAACUGCCGUUGAUACUAUUUGUCUUGAAUAUCCUGGAGGUAGGCGGAAUAUGUCAUGUAGCGGUGAAAUGCUUAGAUAUGACAUAGAACACCAAUUGCGAAGGCAGCUCACUACACGAAUAUUGACACUGAGGCACGAAAGCGUGGGGAUCAAACAGG
Molecule: ribosomal RNA, 253 nt
Filed under: uncultured bacterium
Lineage: Bacteria
Description: partial 16S ribosomal RNA
Rfam family: Bacterial small subunit ribosomal RNA
Source: RNAcentral